CUACGGGAGGCAGCAGUGAAGAAUAUUGGUCAAUGGACGCAAGUCUGAACCCAGCCAUGCCGCGUGCAGGAAGACGGCCUUAUGGGUUGUAAAACUGCUUUUUAUAUAGGGUGAAAAUUACCUACGUGUAGGUAACUGACGGUACUAUAAGAAUAAGGACCGGCUAACUCCGUGCCAGCAGCCGCGGUAAUACGGAGGGUCCAAGCGUUAUCCGGAUUUAUUGGGUUUAAAGGGUCCGUAGGCUGGCGAUUAAGUCAGAGGUGAAAAGCUUACCGCUUAACGGUGAAACUGCCUUUGAUACUGGUUGUCUUGAAUACAUUUGAAGUAGGCGGAAUAUGUAGUGUAGCGGUGAAAUGCAUAGAUAUUACAUAGAACCCCAAUUGCGAAGGCAGCUACUAAGAUGUUAUUUACGCUGAUUGACGAAAGCGUGGGUAGCGAACGGGAUUAAAUACCUCGGUAGUCCACCCCGUAAACAAUGUUAACUCGGUGCGUGCUUCGUAGAAGUGAGUGCCCAACCGAAAGUAUUAAGUUAACCACCUGGGGAGGACGCUCGCAAGAAUGAACUCAAAGGAAUUGACGGGAAUCGAAUAUUCCCGCCGCCAUGCGCCGCGAGCAUGCGACGUCGCUA
RNAcentral lists this ribosomal RNA (628 nucleotides) under uncultured bacterium. RNAcentral describes it as "bacterial SSU rRNA". It matches the Rfam family "Bacterial small subunit ribosomal RNA", at positions 339 to 1425 of the family's 1533-position model. The record is from RNAcentral.